AAGAACUCGACUAAUUUAAUUUAAAAGUCAUAGAAAGACAUACCAAAAGACGACACUUACCCGAUUCAAACUCCUAUUAGACGAAAAUGUGAGGCAAUGACAUGUGAAGUCGGAAAGAAAAUAAGAAGAACAAACUACAAUGAUUCCCAAAAACAAAACCACCAAGAAGACGAAAGGGAGAAGGAGGAGAAAAUAAAAAGAAAAAACAAACGUACUAGAAAGGGAGAGAAAAACGUGUUUAAAAUAUUUUUUUAAUUCACUAACUAAAAUAAGAUAAACAAAUAAAUACAUAAAUACAUAAAAUAAAAACAAAAAUACAUAAAUAUCUAAAAUAAAAUUAUCCCAUAAACACACACGAAGAUUCGAACCCAAAACCUAGAAGCAAACUAACACACAACAAACUAC
RNAcentral lists this long non-coding RNA (405 nucleotides) under Gossypium raimondii (Peruvian cotton). RNAcentral's name for it is "long non-coding RNA (GRAI_LNC003687)". The record is from RNAcentral. Lineage: Eukaryota; Viridiplantae; Streptophyta; Magnoliopsida; Malvales; Malvaceae.